This 479-nucleotide ribosomal RNA is filed under the name uncultured bacterium. RNAcentral's name for it is "partial 16S ribosomal RNA". It matches the Rfam family "Bacterial small subunit ribosomal RNA", at positions 28 to 507 of the family's 1533-position model. The record is from RNAcentral.
GAUGAACGCUGGCGGCGUGCUUAACACAUGCAAGUCGAACGAAGCGCCUUGAUUCGAUUCUUCGGAUGAAGAUCUUGGUGACUGAGUGGCGGACGGGUGAGUAACGCGUGGGUAACCUGCCUCAUACAGGGGGAUAACAGUUAGAAAUGACUGCUAAUACCGCAUAAGACCACAGCACCGCAUGGUGCAGGGGUAAAAACUCCGGUGGUAUGAGAUGGACCCGCGUCUGAUUAGGUAGUUGGUGGGGUAACGGCCUACCAAGCCGACGAUCAGUAGCCGACCUGAGAGGGUGACCGGCCACAUUGGGACUGAGACACGGCCCAAACUCCUACGGGAGGCAGCAGUGGGGAAUAUUGCACAAUGGGGGAAACCCUGAUGCAGCGACGCCGCGUGAGCGAUGAAGUAUUUCGGUAUGUAAAGCUCUAUCAGCAGGGAAGAAAAUGACGGUACCUGACGAAGAAGCACCGGCUAAAUACGUG